CCCCAGUUUGAUCAGAAAAGUGCGAUAAAAAAUCCCCUGCAAAUCCUGAGAAGGAGCAUCCUUCCUCUAAGAUCAUUCAGAUAAUAAUAAUCUUUGCUACCCUCAAUUCAAUUGGUCGAUUUUGGUUUGUCGUCAUUUCUCGAGAGAAGGAAGGCUAUAGCUAUGGUGGCCGAAGCAGACCUUACGUGUCAACGGAGCAACCCUGUGUUGGAUGUUCAGUAUUUGCCUAACGGGGCAAAUAUACGUGAGAUCGAAGAUGCCGCCGCCAUCACGCCUCCGAGUUUUGACAGAGUUCGUGCUUCUCCAUUAGUGUCUGCCGAGUUACUCAGCCCACAAGAAGAUAUUAAAGCUGCUGACAGAAUAUCAAAUGAUGCUCUUGAUUCUGCUGUUCUUCAAUUUGUCCCUAGCAUCCGCUCCGGCAGUUUUGCCAACAUUGGCCCCCGGAGAUACAUGGAAGAUGAACAUAUAAAGAUAGAUGAUCUAUCUUCUCACAUGGGAUCACUAUAUACAUUUCCUGAACCAAGUGCCUUCUACGGGGUGUUUGAUGGUCAUGGAGGACCUGAAGCUGCAGCUUAUAUCCAGAAAAAUGUUAUGAGAUUCUUCUUUGAAGAUGUUAGCUUCCCCCAGACAUCUGAAGUAGAUAAUGUUUUUUUAAAAGAGGCGGAGAACUCCCUCAGAAAAUCAUUUCUAUUGGCUGACUUAGCUUUGGCUGAUGAUUGCAGUGUGAGCAACUCAUCAGGGACCACGGCUCUUAUUGCCUUGAUAUUUGGAAGGCGUCUAAUGGUGGCCAAUGCUGGUGAUUGCCGAGCAGUUCUCUGUCGUAAAGGAGAGGCAAUUGACAUGUCUCAAGAUCACAGGCCUGUUUAUCCUUCAGAGCGGAGGCGAGUUGAGGAAUUAGGUGGUCACGUAGAUGAUGGUUAUCUUAACGGGGUUUUGUCAGUUUCUCGAGCCCUUGGGGACUGGGAUAUGAAGUUUCCACGUGGUUCUCCCUCACCUUUGAUUGCAGAGCCUGAGUUUCGUCAAGUGGUUAUAACAGAGGAUGAUGAGUUCCUUAUCAUAGGUUGUGAUGGAAUUUGGGAUGUUAUGACAAGUCAGCAGGCAGUUAGCCUUGUCCGUAGAAGCCUGAGGCGGCAUUAUGACCCAGAGCGAUGUGCCAGGGAUCUGGUCAUGGAGGCACUACGCCUUAACACGUUUGAUAAUCUUACAGUGAUUGUUGUGUGCUUUUCUUCUAAUUCUAUUGAUCACAGCGAGCCAUCCCCUUCUCAUCAGAGGAAAUUGAGGUGCUGUAGCCUUUCUGCAGAGGCGCUUUGUAGCUUGAGGAACUUUUUGGAAGGCAAUGCAAGCAAUUGAACGCGCGAAUCCAGGCUCUUGUGCGUGAGGCUUGUACAAAGAAUGAGUUAUACUUUAGACGAAAAUGUUGAGGAAUGCCAAAGAACGAAGUUAUUCUGGUUGGGAGGGACUCCAGCAUUUAGCAAGCAGCUGCCUUUGCAUGGAAGAGGGAGGAAUCAGGAAAAGAAAUAGGGAGGGUGGUGGUGGUAAGCAAAAACUGGGGGAGCGAGCAAGCAGGCUUUGGAAUUUUCAAGCGCAUAAAUCACAGCGUCCACUUUUCCGCAUUUUAUUCCCCUUUCUCCG
Molecule: RNA transcript, 1632 nt
Organism: Prosopis cineraria
Lineage: Eukaryota; Viridiplantae; Streptophyta; Magnoliopsida; Fabales; Fabaceae
Gene name: probable protein phosphatase 2C 49
Exons: 6
Source: RefSeq, a predicted model, not a curated record